AAAGGAUGGUGUGCAGGUUGGUGCUGCCCAGGAAGGGACAGGAUGCAACAGGCUCCAGCAGGCGGGCGCAAGGUGGAAAGGCUGCUCCAAGCACUGCAGCUGAGACCACCAGCGCACAGGAGAUGUUUUGGAGACCACGCCCAAACAGAAGUGCAGAGAUCUCCUGGUCUAAAUUUCAGACUCUGAGAUGAAGGGAUCAUUGCCCAGAAAGGACAGUUUGCCCCAAUCACACAGCUAACAGGGCUGGUGACAAGGUUUGGAUUCACAUCUGCCAGACUCCAGAUUCUACGCUCUUUCAUUUAGCUGAAGUCUCCCGGAGAUCAAGACAUAGCCCAGGAGAAGGAAGCAGUCCAGGGAAACGUAGGACAGGAAGAAUAUUAGGUGAAGGGUAACGGCCACACUGAGCAUCAAGGCUGUCCCUCUGGCUGGAUCUGCAAAGAGUGAGCAUCGUGGUUGGUCUCAUGUUAACACCUCCUACCUGAACAGCCCAUGGCUUUUCUGCUCCAGGACCUUGGCACCUGAUCCCAUGGCUCAGCAUUGGAUCACCCCAGAUCCAGUGAGGUGGGGAAAAGCCCAAAGCCUCUACAGAUUCACAGAGUGUGAGGAGUGAGCCUCUAUGACUCAUGUCAGUGCCUGACCAGAAAGGGGGCUCCAGGUAACUUAAAACCCUCCUCUUUGACAGGAUCUAGAUGAAGGUCUCACUGGUCCUGCCGUCUCACUUCUGCAAGGACUCUUGGUGGCUAGAAUCCAGCCCCACAUCCAAAAGUCUGAACUAAAAUAGUUAGAUUUUUCACAGAGUUGAUUGGUUCCACCCUAAAGCUGCCUGCUAUUCUCUAGUUCUAAUACCUGAACCAGAGUA
Cervus elaphus (red deer) is the source of this 859-nucleotide long non-coding RNA. RefSeq lists it as uncharacterized. The record is from RefSeq and is a predicted model, not a curated record. The transcript has 3 exons. Lineage: Eukaryota; Metazoa; Chordata; Mammalia; Artiodactyla; Cervidae.